GUAACAAGGUUUCCGUAGGUGAACCUGCGGAAGGAUCAUUAUAGAAUUCCAACCUUGGGUUGGGUUGUUGCUGGCCUCUAGGGGCAUGUGCACGCCUGCUCAUCCGUUUUCAAACCAUCUGUGCACCUUUCAUGGAAUAGACUUUGGAUAUAUACCGUUCGAGGGUGAAACCCCCCUCUGUUUGAGGGCCUUGCUGUGCUGCAAAGUUCUGCUUCCCUGUGCAUUUCCGGUCUAUGCAUCUUCUUAUACCCCGUAACGAAUGUAUUAGAAUGUUUUUUUUAUUGGCCUUUUUAGUGCACAUCUUAAUCAAAUACAACUUUCAGCAACGGAUCUCUUGGCUCUCGCAUCGAUGAAGAACGCAGCGAAAUGCGAUAAGUAAUGUGAAUUGCAGAAUUCAGUGAAUCAUCGAAUCUUUGAACGCCCCUUGCGCUCCUUGGUAUUCCGAGGAGCAUGCCUGUUUGAGUGUCAUGGUAAAUUCUCAAUUCUUAACCAGGUCUUUUUGUGAGACUCUGAUGAUAUUAGGACUUGGAUGGGGGGGUUUAUUGCUGGCUUCUUAGCAGGUGCCUGCUCCUCUUAAAUGCAUUAGUGUGAACCCUUUGUUGGCACUGUCAUGCUCGGUGUGAUAAUUAUCUGCAUCUGUGUCUGCAGUCAGCUUUAUUCUAAUGGGCUUUUCAUGCUUCUAACUCGUACUUCCUCUUUGUUGAGGACAGAUUCUUUUGAGCAUUCUGACCUCAAAUCAGGUAGGACUACCCGCUGAACUUAAGCAUAUCAAUAAGCGGAGGAAAAGAAACUAACAAG
This 798-nucleotide ribosomal RNA is filed under the name Termitomyces sp. BAB-4742. Its description in RNAcentral is "eukaryotic LSU rRNA". The stretch from base 315 to 468 matches the Rfam family "5.8S ribosomal RNA". The record is from RNAcentral. Lineage: Eukaryota; Fungi; Basidiomycota; Agaricomycetes; Agaricales; Lyophyllaceae.